RNAcentral lists this ribosomal RNA (940 nucleotides) under uncultured Ascomycota. RNAcentral's name for it is "eukaryotic LSU rRNA". The stretch from base 291 to 940 matches the Rfam family "Eukaryotic large subunit ribosomal RNA", at positions 1 to 664 of the family's 3401-position model. The record is from RNAcentral. Lineage: Eukaryota; Fungi; Ascomycota.
AUCGAUGAAGAACGCAGCGAAAUGCGAUAAGUAAUGUGAAUUGCAGAAUUCAGUGAAUCAUCGAAUCUUUGAACGCACAUUGCGCCCCUUGGUAUUCCGAGGGGCAUGCCUGUUCGAGCGUCAUUACACCACUCAAGCACCGCUUGGUAUUGGGCAUCGUCCGUCGAAAGGCGGGCGUGCCUCGAAGACCUCGGCGGGGUUUCUCCAACUUCGGGCGUAGUAGAGUUAAAUCAAAACGUCUUAUAAGCUUGGUGAGAUCUCAUUGCCGUUAAACCUUUUAUUUUUCAGGUUGACCUCGGAUCAGGUAGGGAUACCCGCUGAACUUAAGCAUAUCAAUAAGCGGAGGAAAAGAAACCAACAGGGAUUGCCCUAGUAACGGCGAGUGAAGCGGCAAUAGCUCAAAUUUGAAAGCUGGCCUUCUGGUCCGCAUUGUAAUUUGUAGAGGAUGCUUUUAGGCAGCCGCCGGUCUAAGUUCCUUGGAACAGGACGUCAUAGAGGGUGAGAAUCCCGUAUGUGACCGGCUCUGGCACCUUCUGUAAAGCUCCUUCGACGAGUCGAGUUGUUUGGGAAUGCAGCUCUAAAUGGGAGGUAAAUUUCUUCUAAAGCUAAAUACUGGCGAGAGACCGAUAGCGCACAAGUAGAGUGAUCGAAAGAUGAAAAGCACUUUGGAAAGAGAGUUAAAAAGCACGUGAAAUUGUUGAAAGGGAAGCGCUUGCAAUCAGACUUGGCUUCGGUUGUUCAACAGGUCUUCUGACCUGCCUACUCAAUCGUUGCCAGGCCAGCAUCAGUUUCGGCGGCCGGAUAAAGGCCCUGGGAAUGUGGCCGUCUCUUCGGAGACGGUGUUAUAGCCCAGGGUGUAAUACGGCCAGCUGGGACUGAGGUCCGCGCUUCGGCUAGGAUGCUGGCGUAAUGGUUGUAAGCGGCCCGUCUUGAAACACGG